RNAcentral lists this ribosomal RNA (253 nucleotides) under uncultured bacterium. RNAcentral describes it as "partial 16S ribosomal RNA". It matches the Rfam family "Bacterial small subunit ribosomal RNA", at positions 524 to 776 of the family's 1533-position model. The record is from RNAcentral.
UACGAAGGGGGCUAGCGUUGCUCGGAAUCACUGGGCGUAAAGGGUGCGUAGGCGGGUCUUUAAGUCAGGGGUGAAAUCCUGGAGCUCAACUCCAGAACUGCCUUUGAUACUGAAGAUCUUGAGUUCGGGAGAGGCGAGUGGAACUGCGAGUGUAGAGGUGAAAUUCGUAGAUAUUCGCAAGAACACCAGUGGCGAAGGCGGCUCACUGGCCCGAUACUGACGCUGAGGCACGAAAGCGUGGGGAGCAAGCAGG